AGGGAGUAAAGUUAAUACCUUUGCUCAUUGACGUUACCCGCAGAAGAAGCACCGGCUAACUCCGUGCCAGCAGCCGCGGUAAUACGGAGGGUGCAAGCGUUAAUCGGAAUUACUGGGCGUAAAGCGCACGCAGGCGGUUUGUUAAGUCAGAUGUGAAAUCCCCGGGCUCAACCUGGGAACUGCAUCUGAUACUGGCAAGCUUGAGUCUCGUAGAGGGGGGUAGAAUUCCAGGUGUAGCGGUGAAAUGCGUAGAGAUCUGGAGGAAUACCGGUGGCGAAGGCGGCCCCCUGGACGAAGACUGACGCUCAGGUGCGAAAGCGUGGGGAGCAAACAGGAUUAGAUACCCCUGUAGUCGAAGACAAGUCAAUUAGAUACCCCUGUAGUC
RNAcentral lists this ribosomal RNA (385 nucleotides) under Clostridioides difficile. Its description in RNAcentral is "bacterial SSU rRNA". It matches the Rfam family "Bacterial small subunit ribosomal RNA", at positions 445 to 833 of the family's 1533-position model. The record is from RNAcentral. Lineage: Bacteria; Bacillati; Bacillota; Clostridia; Peptostreptococcales; Peptostreptococcaceae.